GCAGGGCCACCAACAUCCACUGUGGCUUUACCUCUCAGGGUCACAGAAUGGUUGGGUUAGAAGGGACCCCAAAGGCUCCAACCCCCCCCAAAACAGGCAGGGCCACCAACAUCCACUGUGGCUUUAUCUCACAGGGUCAAAGAAUGGUUGGGUUGGAAGGGACCCCAGAAGAUCACGAGGAUCCAACCUCCCCCCCAAAACAGGCAGGGCCACCACCUCCACUGUGGCUUUAAUCUCACAGGGUCACAGAAUGGUUGGGUUGGAAGGGACCCCAAAGGCUCCAACCCCCCCAAAACAGGCAGGGCCACCAACAUCCACUGUGGCUUUAAUCUCAUAGGGUCACAGAAUGGUUGGGUUGGAAGGGACCCCAAAAGAUCACGAGGCUCCAACUCCCCCCAAAACAGGCAGGGCCACCACCUCCACUGUGGCUUUAAUCUCAUAGGGUCACAGAAUGGUUGGGUUAGAAGGGACCCCAAAGGCUCCAACCCCCCCAAAACAGGCAGGGCCACCACCUCCGCUGUGGCUUUAAUCUCACAGGGUCACAAAAUGGUUGGGUUGGAAGGGACCCCAAAGGCUCCAACCCCCCCCAAAACAGGCAGGGCCACCGACAUCCACUGUGGCUUUAAUCUCUCAGGAUCAUAGAAUGGUUGGGAUGGAAGGGACCCCAAAAGACCACGUCCACAUUUAAGGCCAUCCCAUUGGAUACCCCAUCCAACGUGGCCUUCAACACCUCCAGGGACGGACGGGGCAUCCACAGCCUCUCCGGGCAGCUGUUCCCCCUCACAUCCAACCUCCAUCUGCCCUCCUUCAACUCCAAACCACGUCCCCUCAUCCUGCUGUUAUCUGCCCUUCCAAGAGUCGCCUCCCCUCCUGUUUGGGGGCUCCCCUUUAAGGUCCCGGAAGGCUGCACUGAGGUCACCCCGCAGCCUUCUGUUCCCUUCUCCAGGCUCAAUACCCCAUCUCCCUCAGCCUGUCUCUGUAUGGGAGGUGCUGCAGCCCUCCGAUCACCUCUGUGGCCCUCCUGUGAAUAGAAGGGACCCUCCGCUGUCUUUCUCCUAUUGGGGGCUCCAGAUUUGGACGCAGUGCUGCAGAUCUCCGUUGGUUUAAAAGCUCGAAGCCCCCCCAAAACUCAACAAACCAUCCCAUCCUCCGAACCGUCUCAGUGCUUCCAAAGGCUCUGAGCACCGGAAGCCAUAGAAAAUCCUUCAGCUUCUCUGCCCAGCAGUUCAGACCAUCCACCACUGUGGCCCUUCCUUCACAGUCACCUCUUCUGUGCGCCUCUUUUUGGGGCUAUUUCAUGCAUUUUCAUGGAUAUCUCACAUGUAACGCUCCAUACUACGUGCAUACGUGUGCACACACAUCCCUACAUUCAUACACUCUCCAAAUCCUCCAUUUCCACCGUUCAGACGACCUCAGAAGGGAUAAAUUGUACAAAACAGCCCAAACGUCCCCAAUUUG
This 1458-nucleotide long non-coding RNA is filed under the name Gallus gallus (chicken). RNAcentral's name for it is "lncRNA (ENSGALG00010000694.1)". The record is from RNAcentral. Lineage: Eukaryota; Metazoa; Chordata; Aves; Galliformes; Phasianidae.